GAUGAACGCUGGCGGCGUGCUUAACACAUGCAAGUCGAACGAUGAAGCCCAGCUUGCUGGGUGGAUUAGUGGCGAACGGGUGAGUAACACGUGAGUAACCUGCCCUUAACUCUGGGAUAAGCCUGGGAAACUGGGUCUAAUACCGGAUAGGAGCGUCCACCGCAUGGUGGGUGUUGGAAAGAUUUAUCGGUUUUGGAUGGACUCGCGGCCUAUCAGCUUGUUGGUGAGGUAAUGGCUCACCAAGGCGACGACGGGUAGCCGGCCUGAGAGGGUGACCGGCCACACUGGGACUGAGACACGGCCCAGACUCCUACGGGAGGCAGCAGUGGGGAAUAUUGCACAAUGGGCGCAAGCCUGAUGCAGCGACGCCGCGUGAGGGAUAACGGCCUUCGGGUUGUAAACCUCUUUCAGUAGGGAAGAAGCGAAAGUGACGGUACCUGAAGAAGAAGCACCGGCUAACUACGUG
RNAcentral lists this ribosomal RNA (466 nucleotides) under uncultured bacterium. Its description in RNAcentral is "partial 16S ribosomal RNA". It matches the Rfam family "Bacterial small subunit ribosomal RNA", at positions 28 to 507 of the family's 1533-position model. The record is from RNAcentral.